AGAGUUUGAUCAUGGCUCAGAUUGAACGCUGGCGGCAUGCCUUACACAUGCAAGUCGAACGGCAGCACGGGCUUCGGUCUGGUGGCGAGUGGCGAACGGGUGAGUAAUGUAUCGGAACGUACCUUUCAGUGGGGGAUAACGUAGCGAAAGUUACGCUAAUACCGCAUAUUCUGUGAGCAGGNAAGCAGGGGAUCGCAAGACCUUGCGCUGAUUGAGCGGCCGAUAUCAGAUUAGCUAGUUGGUGGGGUAAAGGCCUACCAAGGCUACGAUCUGUAGCGGGUCUGAGAGGAUGAUCCGCCACACUGGAACUGAGACACGGUCCAGACUCCUACGGGAGGCAGCAGUGGGGAAUUUUGGACAAUGGGGGCAACCCUGAUCCAGCCAUGCCGCGUGAGUGAAGAAGGCCUUCGGGUUGUAAAGCUCUUUCGGCCGGGAAGAAAUCGCAUAGGUUAAUACCCUGUGUGGAUGACGGUACCGGAAUAAGAAGCACCGGCUAACUACGUGCCAGCAGCCGCGGUAAUACGUAGGGUGCGAGCGUUAAUCGGAAUUACUGGGCGUAAAGCGUGCGCAGGCGGUUUCGUAAGACAGAGGUGAAAUCCCCGGGCUCAACCUGGGAACUGCCUUUGUGACUGCGAAGCUAGAGUACGGCAGAGGGGGGUGGAAUUCCACGUGUAGCAGUGAAAUGCGUAGAGAUGUGGAGGAACACCGAUGGCGAAGGCAGCCCCCUGGGCCGAUACUGACGCUCAUGCACGAAAGCGUGGGUAGCAAACAGGAUUAGAUACCCUGGUAGUCC
Molecule: ribosomal RNA, 793 nt
Filed under: uncultured bacterium
Lineage: Bacteria
Description: bacterial SSU rRNA
Rfam family: Bacterial small subunit ribosomal RNA
Source: RNAcentral